AGACCCGAAACCCGGUGAUCUAGCCAUGGGCAGGUUGAAGGUUGGGUAACACUAACUGGAGGACCGAACCGACUAAUGUUGAAAAAUUAGCGGAUGACUUGUGGCUGGGGGUGAAAGGCCAAUCAAACCGGGAGAUAGCUGGUUCUCCCCGAAAGCUAUUUAGGUAGCGCCUCGUGAAUUCAUCUCCGGGGGUAGAGCACUGUUUCGGCAAGGGGGUCAUCCCGACUUACCAACCCGAUGCAAACUGCGAAUACCGGAGAAUGUUAUCACGGGAGACACACGGCGGGUGCUAACGUCCGUCGUGAAGAGGGAAACAACCCAGACCGCCAGCUAAGGUCCCAAAGUCAUGGUUAAGUGGGAAACGAUGUGGGAAGGCCCAGACAGCCAGGAUGUUGGCUUAGAAGCAGCCAUCAUUUAAAGAAAGCGUAAUAGCUCACUGGUCGAGUCGGCCUGCGCGGAAGAUGUAACGGGGCUAAACCAUGCACCGAAGCUGCGGCAGCGACACUGUGUGUUGUUGGGUAGGGGAGCGUUCUGUAAGCCUGUGAAGGUGUACUGUAAGGUAUGCUGGAGGUAUCAGAAGUGCGAAUGCUGACAUAAGUAACGAUAAAGCGGGUGAAAAGCCCGCUCGCCGGAAGACCAAGGGUUCCUGUCCAACGUUAAUCGGGGCAGGGUGAGUCGACCCCUAAGGCGAGGCCGAAAGGCGUAGUCGAUGGGAAACAGGUUAAUAUUCCUGUACUUGGUGUUACUGCGAAGGGGGGACGGAGAAGGCUAUGUUGGCCGGGCGACGGUUGUCCCGGUUUAAGCGUGUAGGCUGGUUUUCCAGGCAAAUCCGGAAAAUCAAGGCUGAGGCGUGAUGACGAGGCACUACGGUGCUGAAGCAACAAAUGCCCUGCUUCCAGGAAAAGCCUCUAAGCAUCAGGUAACAUCAAAUCGUACCCCAAACCGACACAGGUGGUCAGGUAGAGAAUACCAAGGCGCUUGAGAGAACUCGGGUGAAGGAACUAGGCAAAAUGGUGCCGUAACUUCGGGAGAAGGCACGCUGAUAUGUAGGUGAAGUCCCUCGCGGAUGGAGCUGAAAUCAGUCGAAGAUACCAGCUGGCUGCAACUGUUUAUUAAAAACACAGCACUGUGCAAACACGAAAGUGGACGUAUACGGUGUGACGCCUGCCCGGUGCCGGAAGGUUAAUUGAUGGGGUCAGCGCAAGCGAAGCUCUUGAUCGAAGCCCCGGUAAACGGCGGCCGUAACUAUAACGGUCCUAAGGUAGCGAAAUUCCUUGUCGGGUAAGUUCCGACCUGCACGAAUGGCGUAAUGAUGGCCAGGCUGUCUCCACCCGAGACUCAGUGAAAUUGAACUCGCUGUGAAGAUGCAGUGUACCCGCGGCAAGACGGAAAGACCCCGUGAACCUUUACUAUAGCUUGACACUGAACAUUGAGCCUUGAUGUGUAGGAUAGGUGGGAGGCUUUGAAGUGUGGACGCCAGUCUGCAUGGAGCCGACCUUGAAAUACCACCCUUUAAUGUUUGAUGUUCUAACGUGGACCCGUGAUCCGGGUUGCGGACAGUGUCUGGUGGGUAGUUUGACUGGGGCGGUCUCCUCCUAAAGAGUAACGGAGGAGCACGAAGGUUGGCUAAUCCUGGUCGGACAUCAGGAGGUUAGUGCAAUGGCAUAAGCCAGCUUGACUGCGAGCGUGACGGCGCGAGCAGGUGCGAAAGCAGGUCAUAGUGAUCCGGUGGUUCUGAAUGGAAGGGCCAUCGCUCAACGGAUAAAAGGUACUCCGGGGAUAACAGGCUGAUACCGCCCAAGAGUUCAUAUCGACGGCGGUGUUUGGCACCUCGAUGUCGGCUCAUCACAUCCUGGGGCUGAAGUAGGUCCCAAGGGUAUGGCUGUUCGCCAUUUAAAGUGGUACGCGAGCUGGGUUUAGAACGUCGUGAGACAGUUCGGUCCCUAUCUGCCGUGGGCGCUGGAGAACUGAGGGGGGCUGCUCCUAGUACGAGAGGACCGGAGUGGACGCAUCACUGGUGUUCGGGUUGUCAUGCCAAUGGCACUGCCCGGUAGCUAAAUGCGGAAGAGAUAAGUGCUGAAAGCAUCUAAGCACGAAACUUGCCCCGAGAUGAGUUCUCCCUGACCCUUUAAGGGUCCUGAAGGAACGUUGAAGACGACGACGUUGAUAGGCCGGGUGUGUAAGCGCAGCGAUGCGUUGAGCUAACCGGUACUAAUGAACCGUGAGGCUUAACCUUACAACGCCGAAGGUGUUU
RNAcentral lists this ribosomal RNA (2254 nucleotides) under Escherichia coli. Its description in RNAcentral is "partial 23S ribosomal RNA". It matches the Rfam family "Bacterial large subunit ribosomal RNA", at positions 711 to 2925 of the family's 2925-position model. The record is from RNAcentral. Lineage: Bacteria; Pseudomonadati; Pseudomonadota; Gammaproteobacteria; Enterobacterales; Enterobacteriaceae.